UGCAAUGCGUCUGAGCUCCGUA
This 22-nucleotide microRNA is filed under the name Ornithorhynchus anatinus (platypus). RNAcentral's name for it is "Oan-Mir-1421-P13b_3p* (star (passenger))". Lineage: Eukaryota; Metazoa; Chordata; Mammalia; Monotremata; Ornithorhynchidae. The record is from RNAcentral.